GCGUAAUAGCUCACUGGUCGAGUCGGCCUGCGCGGAAGAUGUAACGGGGCUAAACCAUGCACCGAAGCUGCGGCAGCGACACUAUGUGUUGUUGGGUAGGGGAGCGUUCUGUAAGCCGUUGAAGGUGGCCUGUGAGGGUUGCUGGAGGUAUCAGAAGUGCGAAUGCUGACAUAAGUAACGAUAAAGCGGGUGAAAAGCCCGCUCGCCGGAAGACCAAGGGUUCCUGUCCAACGUUAAUCGGGGCAGGGUGAGUCGACCCCUAAGGCGAGGCCGAAAGGCGUAGUCGAUGGGAAACAGGUUAAUAUUCCUGUACUUGGUGUUACUGCGAAGGGGGGACGGAGAAGGCUAUGUUGGCCGGGCGACGGUUGUCCCGGUUUAAGCGUGUAGGCUGAUUUUCCAGGCAAAUCCGGAGAAUCAAGGCUGAGGCGUGAUGACGAGGCACUACGGUGCUGAAGCAACAAAUGCCCUGCUUCCAGGAAAAGCCUCUAAGCAUCAGGUAACAUCAAAUCGUACCCCAAACCGACACAGGUGGUCAGGUAGAGAAUACCAAGGCGCUUGAGAGAACUCGGGUGAAGGAACUAGGCAAAAUGGUGCCGUAACUUCGGGAGAAGGCACGCUGAUAUGUAGGUGAAGCGACCUGCUCGUGGAGCUGAAAUCAGUCGAAGAUACCAGCUGGCUGCAACUGUUUAUUAAAAACACAGCACUGUGCAAACACGAAAGUGGACGUAUACGGUGUGACGCCUGCCCGGUGCCGGAAGGUUAAUU
RNAcentral lists this ribosomal RNA (765 nucleotides) under Escherichia marmotae. RNAcentral's name for it is "partial 23S ribosomal RNA". It matches the Rfam family "Bacterial large subunit ribosomal RNA", at positions 1132 to 1882 of the family's 2925-position model. Lineage: Bacteria; Pseudomonadati; Pseudomonadota; Gammaproteobacteria; Enterobacterales; Enterobacteriaceae. The record is from RNAcentral.